This 253-nucleotide ribosomal RNA is filed under the name uncultured bacterium. Its description in RNAcentral is "partial 16S ribosomal RNA". It matches the Rfam family "Bacterial small subunit ribosomal RNA", at positions 524 to 776 of the family's 1533-position model. The record is from RNAcentral.
UACGUAGGGGGCUAGCGUUGUCCGGAAUCAUUGGGCGUAAAGCGCGUGUAGGCGGUUCGGUAAGUCCGCUGUGAAAGUCGGGGGCUCAACCCUCGAAUGCCGGUGGAUACUGUCGGACUAGAGUACGGAAGAGGCGAGUGGAAUUCCUGGUGUAGCGGUGAAAUGCGCAGAUAUCAGGAGGAACACCAAUUGCGAAGGCAGCUCGCUGGGACGUCACUGACGCUGAGACGCGAAAGCGUGGGGAGCAAACAGG